GGAGGCUAUCAUACCAGCACUAAAGCACCGGAUCCCAUCAGAACUCCGAAGUUAAGCGUGCUUGGGCGAGAGUAGUACUAGGAUGGGUGACCUCCUGGGAAGUCCUCGUGUUGCAUUCC
RNAcentral lists this ribosomal RNA (119 nucleotides) under Triticum aestivum (bread wheat). The record is from RNAcentral. Lineage: Eukaryota; Viridiplantae; Streptophyta; Magnoliopsida; Poales; Poaceae.